RNAcentral lists this ribosomal RNA (500 nucleotides) under uncultured Myrionecta. RNAcentral's name for it is "bacterial SSU rRNA". It matches the Rfam family "Eukaryotic small subunit ribosomal RNA", at positions 33 to 595 of the family's 1831-position model. Lineage: Eukaryota; Ciliophora; Litostomatea; Cyclotrichida; Mesodiniidae. The record is from RNAcentral.
AUGUCUCAAGACUAGCCAUGCACGUCUAAGUACAAACUAAAUGAUGGUGAAACUGCAAAUGGCUCAUUACAACGGUUAUGAUGUACCCGGGAGUUCCGAUGGAUAUUUCCAGUAACACUAGAACUAAUGCAUGUCCCUGCGUUUAUUAGUUUCGCACAGUCCGUCGCUGAGUCAUGGUAAACAGUUGAUCGACUCGACGUCCCGGAACAGUUUCCGCCCCAUCAGCUUCGAUGGUUGGGUAUUGGCCUACCAUUGCAACAACGGGUAACGAGGAAUUAGGGUUUGAUUUCGGAGAGGGAGCCUGAGAAACGGCUACCACAUCUACGGAUGGCAGCAGGCGCGCAAAUUACCCAAUGCAGACACUGUGAGGUAGUGACGAGAAAUAAUAAAGCGGGACUUCUGUUUCGCUAUUAUAACGAGGAAUAACCAAAGGUCAUUCCGAUUAGCAACUGAUGGGAAAGUCUGGUGCCAGCAGCCGCGGUAAUACCAGCGUCAGUAGC